Molecule: long non-coding RNA, 702 nt
Organism: Anastrepha ludens (Mexican fruit fly)
Lineage: Eukaryota; Metazoa; Arthropoda; Insecta; Diptera; Tephritidae
Exons: 4
Source: RefSeq, a predicted model, not a curated record
UCCGCCAUGGCUGAGAGAUGGAAAGACGGAAAGUCGGAAAGGCAAAGUGUCGAGCAACUAAGUGCUUCACAGCAAUAACUCAAUUAUUGGAAGUAUUUAUUUUAUAGACAGGCUAAAUGCUGACAGCAAGUAAAGGGGCGUAAAAUCAAAUGGGAGAACAAGUGUGGCUGCGAGAGUGGAGGGGAAAACCUGACAGUUAUAUAUAAUUUACUUCUUAUUGAAUGGCUUGACUUUGGCCAUUAAUCAACUGUUUUUCAGCAAAAUAUACAUACAUAUAUACACAUUCUGCAAAAUACUUGGAUCACUCAACAAUGCGACAAUCUCCGGAAUAGAUGAGCCCAAUUUGACGGAGUUGAUUUAAAAAGGAAUAUCACGGCAGAAGAGAAUAGAAAAGAGAAAGCAAAGGACGAACUUAGCUCAACAGCCGACCUUCCUUUGAGACUAAAAGCAUACGACGAUAGCGGGAAUGGAACAACUAUUCCUUAUUUCAUUUUGUGCUGGCAUCCGAAUGUACAAGGCGAAAGAAAAAAAACCAUUUCAGACGGUCGACUGCUACCACCUUUAAUAGAUUCGCCGUGAAAAAAUAUAGUUCUUUGCAUAACAAAAACCUUGUAAAUCCAAAUACAAAACUUUGUGCAAAAUUCAAAACAAAAUUUAACAAAUUUAAAAAAAUUCUCGUACAAAUUUUCAACUUUUUAGUUA